RNA transcript from Alligator mississippiensis (American alligator), 9587 nucleotides. It is a transcript of the gene named G protein-activated inward rectifier potassium channel 1, with no coding region annotated. The transcript has 2 exons. The record is from RefSeq and is a predicted model, not a curated record. Lineage: Eukaryota; Metazoa; Chordata; Crocodylia; Alligatoridae.
GCUGGACGGCAUUUUGGGCUGGAGCCACACUCCCUGUCUGUCUGUGUCCCUAGCAGCGGACGGGCGGGGGGCAUGGCUCCAGCCCAGAAUGCUGUGGCACCCCUGGAUGUGCCUGAUGACAUACCAGUUGGGAAAUGGUGUUUUAACAAACUGCUUUCUGUCUUUGCAGUGGUAGAGUGCUGACAGUACCCUCAUCUCCAUGCUUUAACUGAGGCAAAUGAAGGUGUUUUUUGAUGUUUUUAAGCUUUGUGCCUUAUUCGUGCCGCAGGGUUGUUUCAUAGAUUUCAUAGACAUUAGGGAUGGAAGGUACCUCGCGAGAUCAUUGGGUCCAGCCCUCUGCCCCAGGGGCAGGAAAUCAGCUGGGGUCAGAUGACCCCAUCAAGAUAAGCAUCCAAGUGUUUCUUAAAGGUAUCCAGAGUAGGUACUUACAUCACGUCUGGGGGGAGUCUAUUCCAGACUCUGGAGACUUGGACAGUAAAGAAGUUUUUCCUUAUGUUCAGUCUAAAACAGUCUUCCAGCAGUUUGUGACUGUUAGACCUUGUCUUCCCUUGAGGUGCCCUGGUGAGCAAACAUUCUCCCAGUUCCUGAUGCACACCCCUUAUAUACUUAUAGGCUGCCACCAAGUCACCCCAAGCCUUCACUUCUCCAGGUUGAAGAAUCCCAUGCCUCUCAGCCUCUUCUCAUAAGGCCUGCUCUCUUGACCUCUAAUCAUGUGUGUGGCUCUCCUCUGGUCUCUCAAGCUUCUCCACAUUCUUUCUAAAGUGUGGAGCCCAGAAUUGGAUGCAAUACUCCCAUUGGCGAUGUGUAGGGGGUGCACGUGCACCCCCUGAGAGUGGCCAACACCAAUGCUGCUGGUGGUGCCUGUGGGCGGUCACCACUCUCCACGCCCUGCUACUGACACAGCUGAUGGCAUCUGCGGGUGGUUGCCAAUUGCUAGUCAGCGCUUGCCACCCCUAGCCCCUGCUACAACCACCUGUGGGAGCUCCCCGCUCACCCCUGCCAUGCCUCCACUGCCACCACCACCACCACCUCUGGGUGCUCAUUGUGCCCCCCCAACCUUGGGAGGCAUACAACUUUCAUGAGUAUUCUAGCUGUGGCCUCACCAAGGCCGAGUACAGCAGGAGGAUGACUUCUUGGGUCUUGCUUCAGAUGCAUCAAUAGAUGCAAGCCAGAGUUUUAUUUGCUUUGCUGGCUGCAGCAUCACAUUGGUGGCUCACGUUCACUUGUGGUCAAUCAUGACCCCCCAAGUUUCUUUCAGUCAUGGUGCUACUGAAUGCAGCACUGCCAAGCCUAUAAGUAUAAUGUGGGUUUUUUCUCCUGAGGUGAAGCACUUUGCGUUUCUCUGGAUUGAAUGUCAUCAGGUUUUGAUCUGCCCACCUCACAAGCCUGUUCAGUUCAGCCCCAAUCACCAGCCUAUCCUCUAGCAUGACUGUACUUCCGCAUAAUUUGGUGUCAUCUGUGAAUUUAGCCAGCCUGCUUCUGACACCCGAAUCCAGAUCAUUUAUGAAUAUAUUAAAGAGUACUGGACUGAAUACUGAACCCUGGGGUAUGCCACUGGUCACCAUGUGCCAUGUUGACUCAGUUCCAUCGACUAUCACUUUCUGGGUCCGACCAUGGAGCCAGUUCCUCAGCCUCCGGACCGUAAGGUUGUCAAGGCCACAGUUCCCCAAUUUUACCAUGAGGAUAUUAUGGGAGACCAAGUCAAAGGCUUUUUUGACAUCUAAAUAUAUUACAUCAACCUCUUCUCCUUUGUCCAGGUGAUGCAUCACCUGGUCAUAGAAGGAAAUGAGGUUGGUCAGGCAAGACAGACACGCAACAAAGCCAUGUUGGCUAUCUCUCAGAAUGAUGCCUUCUGUUAGCCUGUUGUUAAUGAUUUCUUUGGAUUUUUUUCCAAGAUCUUUCCAGGGAUUGAGGUCAAACAGAUUGGCCUGUAGUUUCCUGGAUCUUCCCUCCUUCGUUUCUUGAAGAUAGGCACCACAUUGUCCCUCCAUCCAAUCUUCAGGAACCUCUCCUGAGCGCCACAAGUUCUCAAAUAUCAUAGAUUCAUAGAUGUUAGGGUCAGAAGGGACCUCAAUAGAUCAUCGAGUCCGAGCCCCUGCAUAGGCAGGAAAGAGUGCUGGGUUUAGAUGACCCCAGCUAGAUGCCUAUCUAACCUCCUCUUGAAGACCCCCAGGGUAGGGGAGAGCACCACCUCCCUUGGGAGCACAUUCCAGACCUUGGCCACUUGAACUGUGAAGAAGUUCUUCCUAAUGUCUAGUCUAAAUCUGCUCUCUGCUAGCUUGUGGCCAUUGUUUCUUGUAACCCCCGGGGGCGCCUUGGUGAAUAAAACCUCACCAAUUCCCUUCUGUGCCCCUGUGAUGAACUUAUAGGCAGCCACAAGGUCGCCUCUCAACCUUCUCUUGCGGAGGCUGAAGAGGUCCAGGUGCCCCAGUCUCUCCUCAUAGGGCUUGGCCUGCAAGCCCUUAACCAUACGUGUGGCCCUUCUCUGGACCCUCUCCAGGUUAUCCACAUCCCUCUUAAAGUGUGGCACCCAAAAUUGCACGCAGUAUUCCAACUGCGGUCUGACCAGCGCCUGAUAGAGGGGAAGUAUCACCUCCUUGGUUCUGUUCGUCAUGCAUCUGCUGAUGCACGAUAAACUGCCAUUAGCUUUCCUGAUGACUUCGUCACACUGACGACUCAUGUUCAGCUUGGAGUCCACUAGGACUCCAAGAUCCUUUUCCGCUUCCGUGCCUCCAAGCAGGUCAUUUCCUAGGCAGUAGGUAUGCUGCACAUUUUUCCUCCCUAGGUGCAACAUUUUGCAUUUCUCCUUAUUAAAUUGCAUUCUGUUGUUUUCCGCCCAUAUGUCCAACCUGUCCGGGUCUGCUUGUAGUUGUUCCCUGCCCUCUGGCGUGUCCACUUCUCCCCACAGUUUUGUGUCACCUGCAAACUUGGACAGAGUACACAUCACUCCCUCGUCCAAGUCGCUGAUGAAGAUAUUGAAGAGUAUCGGUCCAAGGACUGAGCCCUGCGGGAACCCACUGCCCACACCCUUCCAGGUCGAUACCGACCCAUCCACUAUGACUCUCUGGGUGCGACCCUCUAGCCAAUUCGCCACCCACCGGACUGUGUAGUCAUCCAAGUCACAGCCUCUUAACUUGUUCACCAGUAUGGGGUGGGAUACCGUAUCAAAGGCCUUCCUGAAGUCUAAGUAAACAACGUCAAUCCCUACUCCUGCGUCCAGGUGUUUUGUAACCUGGUUGCUAUCCUCAGCAUUGGUUGUGCUAUGACAUCAGCCAACUCUUUUAGCAGUCUUGGGUGUAUUCCAUCCAGGCCACUUAUCUUGCUGGGAUCCUUUGACCCUAGCUGACUUCCUGCUCUUGGGGCAGGGAGCUGGACUCAAUGAUCUUCCAAGGUUCCUUCCAGUCCUAAUGUCUAUGAAAUCUAUUAAUUGUGGAUGUCCAGCCUCUCAAGCUGUUUCCUCACAACAGCUUCACCAAUUAUAGGCAUAUGUUCACCCUUACCCUGGUAAUUCUGCAUCCUGUCAGGCAGAGUGAUUCCCUUGGGCUGAUGGAAAACUGACACAAACUGAUCGUCGAGGAGAUUAGCUUUUUCCAUGGUGUCGAUUGUCAGCUGCCCCAUUUGGUUCAGCAAAAGUCUAAUGUUGCCCUUGGUUUUUUUCCGACUUCCCACAUAUGUGAAGAAAGAUUUUUUUACUGUCCUUGAUUCCUGUAGCCAGUUUGAGUUUGAUUUCAGCCUUGGCUUUUCUGGUGCACUCCCUACAGGUGCAAACAAGUGCUGCAUAAUCCUCCUUAGUGGUAGUUCCCAACGUCCAUACUUUAUAAGCUUUUCUUUUCAGAUUCAGGAGGUCCAUGAGUUCCCCAUUGAACUGAGGGGGUCUCCCAGCCCUUUUGCUACCUCUCCUACGACCUGGAAUGGACUCCCUUUUUGCUUUUAUGGUUGUGUCCUUAAGAAGCGACCACUCAUCAUGGUUUCCCCUCCCUGUCAGAUCAUGGUCUCUCAGGGCCUCGACAACCAACCUCCUGAGCUUGUGAAAGUCAGCUUUCCUAAAGUCGAGGAUUUCUGCAUUGCUGACUGAUUUGCCAGUUUUGCAAUGAAUAAAGUGAUCAACUCGUGAUCACUGUCAUCAAGCUUCCCUUCAAUCCUCAGGUCGCUCACUAAAUCAUCCCCUUUGGCCACUACCAGAUCCAGCAGUGCCUUACCUCUUGUCAGCCUGUAGACUUCUUGAGUCAAAUGGAGCUCAUCAAUGCAAGUGAGGAAGCUUCACGACUGAUCAGAUUUGGCUGAAUGCUCUUCCCAUGAGAGGUCAGGGUGGUUGAAGUUGCCCAUGAUGACCAUGUACCAAGAGCAUGCAACCUCUACCAGUUCCCUAGAGAAUUCAUGGUCAAGCUUUUCCUCCCAGUUAUGUCUGUAAUAGACUCUUACAGUUAUAUCCCCUUCACCCCACUCUCCCCGUAUUCUAACCCAGAGGGUCUCAAGUUGCCCUCCUUGGGUACCAAUCUCUGCUUGUGGGGAAGUGUACUGCUCCUUCACAUAGAGAGCUAUACCCCAACGCUUCUUUGCAACACAAUCCCUCCUGUACAAUUAUAGCCAUCAAUACCUGUGGUCCAGUCAUAAGUGGAGUCCCACCAGGUCUCCGUUAUCCCUAUGAGAUUGUGACGGGCUAGCCGGCAGUGACCUAGCCCAGGGGUUUUGAAAGGGCAAAAGAUGAUUGGAAGACUUGGGAUUCCCUUUCCUCACCAAUCAGGCCCCAGAGAUUCACCUCUCAUGUCCCCUGAUUGGCCCCUGGGUCACCUGGAGGGGGAUAAAAGGGGCAGCACGGCUGACUCAGGGAGAGACCAGCGAGGGAUUAUGAGGAAGGAGCUUCAAAGAGCUGAGCAAGUGGGGCAGAAACAGUUGCCCCAGAAGAGCCUGAAGGAGCAGGACCUGCAGGCAGCAGUUGGACCCUCAGCAGCACAGCAUGUGGCUUGCAGGAGAGGCUUCCUGCUGGGCUCUAGGAUCCCCUAUGAGAGGCUGUGGCCAGUAGGAGAGGCUUCCUUCUGGGCUCUAGGAUCUCCUACAAGAGGCUGUGGCCAGCAGGAGGAUCUGAGCAGCGACCUGAGGGGUUCCCAGCUUGGCUUCCAGCUCCUCCAAUCAGAGACCAGGCAGCUUGACAUGAGGCCAGGGCUCCAGGAAGGUCAAGACCCCUAGCAGCUUAGAGCAGUACCAGCACUGGUGGCUGUGUGGCAGCAUUCCUGCCUAGCAUGUGGGAGAUCUGAGUUCAACUCCUGACUUGGGGUGCAUGAGCUAACAAGGGAAAAAUCCUCUUGCAGUAGGAAGGAGCCAUUGUGUUUUCCACUUUUCUCCCCCUCCAGGUACCUAGGCCCUAUAUUUCUUUGUCCUUUAAUAUUUUGUAUUUUGUGCCUUUUUAUACUUCCCCAACCAGUAUUGUUUACUCUGCUGUUUGUGUUUUGUAUUUUGUUAACCCUGUCUUUUGCCAAUGAUUGUAAGUGUCUAACCUUUGUUGAAUCCUGCCCCCUUGGGGCAUUGUGGUGUCCACUAUACCCCCUGAUUAUGCCUGUUAUGUCCCCAGUAUUGUUCCCUCAUUAAAAGGUAUAUACUUAAGUCCCCAGUGGUGGUCUGGCUCUGCUCUAUAGCGGGAGGAGAGUCCCUACACCUCCCGCAGCGCUUGUGCACCUGCUUUGAUCCCUUCAAUUGGAGAGGGGGUACCUUUUGGAGUACCGCCUGGGUUACAAGAUCAUAUUCAUUUUUGCUUAGCAGAAGGGCCAGUUCCUCCUGUUUGUUCCCCAAGCUCCUGGCAUUUUUUAAUAGGCAGCUAGGCCUGCCAUUGGAAGCCCUGGGCUUCCCCGUGCUCUUAGAAGAGUCCCGUCCUUGGGCUGGGGUAGGAGUGAGUUCCCUUGUGUUACCUGACCUGCUGAUUUUGUGGUUGUCACUUUCUGGGCUUGCACUGGUGAUUGUCUGCAGGUCCCCCGGCAAUCUUAGUUUAAAGCCCUGUCAAGCAGGUUGGCCAUUCUGGCCAAGAAGAGCUUUCCCAUCGGAGUGAAGUGGAGGCCGUCCCUUCCCAACAAACAGCUGUCUCUCUCUCUGAAGUGCAGACUGUGAUCGAAGAAGCCAAAGUCUUCGCAAUGGUACCAACGCCACAGUCUUCUGUUGACUUCUUCAGUACGCCUCUCCCUCCUGUGCCCAUGACCCGUAACCAGAUGGAUCAAGGAGAAAACUACCUGCAUCCCAAACCCUCUAAGCCCAGCCCCCAAAGCCCUGUAGUCACUCAUGACCUGGCCAGGAUUGCUCUGAGUCAUGUCAUUUGUGCCCACAUGGAUAAGGAGCAUUGUAGUAAAAAGACGUUAGCCCCCAUAAUUUUGCAGUAAUGCUUGAGCAACAACCAUAUGAUAGAAGUGUCUUGUGACCAUCUUAUGACCCUUUUGUGUAAAGAUCAGGAGGUCUAAUGUCCAAGCUGUGGUUCUUACUGCUUGCCUUGCAUUUUGAAAUCAUCUCUGUCCAGUGCCUUAAGGUUACGUUAAGAUAAGAAGUUACUAAAGUUUAACUAACUUUGUUGAAAUUGCUCUUUUCUUCUGAGCAUGCUGCAAUUCUACCUUUGAGUGCGCACGUACUAACCCUGAUAAGUCACAUUAACCAAUAACUAGUUAAGUACAGCCUACAAGAUAAGACGUCACAAUUAGGAACUGGUACUGCAGCCAAUAAACUUCUAGUACGUCAAGACUCUGUUGAAUGUAAGCUAUAAAAAUGUGAUUCCAGGCCGGACUCAUCGUCGGCCCUGAUUUGAGCUCUCUGCUCCUCGGUCGAACUGUUUGCAAACAAUAAACCUAGAUGGACCCAGCCUGUAUGUGUGACUCUUUCCUUGAGGGUAAUUGAACAAGCCUCCAGGGGAACAAAACUAGCCGUUUUGGCAACCAUUUGGCGAGCCAGCCAGGAGCCCUCUGGACUACUUCAGGGCACGACGAGAUUGGCAAAGGGGAGUCGUGAAGUGGCCACCGGACUGAUCUUGGAGUCCGUCACGACCCCCGGGUCCGUGAGUCGGGCACCUGAAAGGUCAAAGGCACUCCUUUGAACGAGUCAUCCAGGCUGAGUGGGUCCGAAGAGACGGCGCCAGGGGUCCAGCAGAGUGAGUAUUCGCUUUCCUUGUGUCAAUUGAAUGGUCUCUAAGGGAAUUUGGGGAGCCCUGAGGAUUUAAGUGUUGGUUUUGGUAUCCAGCAUAUUGGUCUGGAUUUUGGAUCCGGGGAAUCCCUUUAGAAAAAUGAGCCGCUGACCAAGUCUGAGACUAUAGCUGAGCCUAGCCGCACCGAUUCUGCCCAACAAGGUAGAGUCGAAUGCAAGGGGGCUCAGCUGGAACCUCGUGACUCAGUGGACAGGGACCUGAGUGCAUUUGUAUAUUGGUAGACACAAUGGGUUCAAGUAGCUCCCAAGAAGAAGAUUCUGCUUCCCCAUUAGGAUGCAUGCUGAGGAAUUUUGGUAAAUUUAAGGGAGACUAUGGAAUAGAAAUGACACAGGAUGACUUGAUUAUAUUUUGUCAGAAGGAAUGGCCCACUUUCGGGGUUGGAUGGCCGGAAGUUGGUUCUUACAAUGUAAAAUUAGCUAAUGCAGUUUCAAAUGUGAUAACCCGGGACGGCCACUGGGAUCAGUGGCCGUAUAUAGAUUGUUGGAUAAGUGCUAUAAUGAAUCCUGUUCCCCCAUGGGUUCAGAAGUGUAAAAAGAAAAUGUGUAAGAUGUUAUUGGCAAAAGACACUGGGAGAACAGCCCAAGUCCUUCCUGAUUCUGGUAGUGAGGGAGAUCUGAUUCAGGGACCAGGACACAGAGUUAGAACACAGUCACCUGUCAGCCCCAGUUCCAGGAGUCAGGAGUCACCAUCAUCAUCUCAGACGGACUCUAGCCCCAGCUCCAGGAGCCAGGAAUCAUCACCAUCAUCCUCAUCAUUCCAAGAGGAUCCUGACUUGUUGGGCAGGGAGAGGUCAGAAAGUCCCUCAGUAGUACCCCUAACUGGCCUCGGGGUUUCAGGAGAAAAGAAGGGAAAAGACCCAGAGAAUCUCCCACCAACAGCUCCCCCUUAUGAGGAAAUGGACAGCUUCCCAGAGGGGCUGGCUCAGCUCAAAUCAGCGUUAAAGCUCGUGGAAUCCUGGCAUGAUAAAAUCCCCCGGAGUUCCCGUAACAAGAACCCCAAUUACAAUUGUCCCAUGAGACAAGUAGUGACUCCAGGAGAAGGGGGGGGAACAACCUUCGUUUACGUACCCUUUCACACGUCAGAUUUGUUUAAUUGGAAGAAUCAAAAUCCUUCUUUUAGAGAAGACCCCGAUAAGAUGCAAAAUCUGUUUCGGUCAGUAGGGCAAACCCACCGUCCUACCUGGGCUGAUGUUCAAAUGAUGCUGCAUACCCUCCUGACCUCUGAGGAAAGGCGGAUGGUACAGGGAGUAGCGGAUAAGAUAGCUGAGGAGCGGGUAGUAGCCCCUGGAGGGGACCUGUGUGCUGUAUGUCCUAUUGAGAGUCCCAAUUGGGAUAACGACUCAGAGGAAGGGAAUCGUCAAUAUCUGGGGAUUAUAGUAGAAGCUCUGGGUAAGGCAGUACCACGGGUACCAAACCUUUCCAGGAUAUGCGAGGUCCGCCAAGGAAAGGAUGAAUCUCCCUCAGCCUUCCUCGAGCGGUUGUAUGAUGCCUUUAAGAAAUUUAGUGAAAUAAACCCUGAGGCUUCAGAAAAUCACCGCAUGGUGAAUAUGCUGUUUAUUGGGCAGGCGGCCCCAGGUAUAAGGAAGAAGUUGCAAAAAGUUGAAGGAGGACCAGGGAAACCCCUUUCAGAGCUAGUGGAAAUUGUGUAUAAAGUCUAUGGGAACCAGGAUCAAAUAGCAGAAAAGAAGGAGGAGAAGCAUGGACAGAAGCAAAUGGCCAUGCUAGCAGCUGCCUUAAGCAAGAGUACUAAUGGCAAUGGAGGAUGGAAAGGGCAACCAGAGGGGGGGCAGAAGAAAGGAAGAGGUCGGCCGCAGCCGCUACUAUUUGUGCUGCUGUAAACACAUGCCCCUGCUCAUGUGGACAUGGGCAACAAGUCAGAAUAUGUUUAACACUAUGGAUUUCCUAUUUGAAAUCUCUGGGUUUAUUCUGUAAAUCAUGUUUGCACGCCUAAUUGUGCUAACAUUUUGUAGCACCCCACAGCACACUUGAAAGGAUCUCAAGCCACCCCAGCAUGCUGCAGCACACUAGCUGAGAAUCAACAGGUUAGAUAAACACUGCUCUAGCAUGGUUUACAUAGGAAUGAUCAUGCCUUGAGACUAGGGGACCUCCUGAGAUCCCUUCCAACUCUAUUUUUCUAAGACUCUGCAUGGAAAUGUUUGUUGUUGUUAUUGUUUGUUUAACAGAGAAUUGAAGGAAAGGCUAGUGGCUUGAUGAGUAAUGAUGAAGAAGACAUUCCAUUGUUAGUAGACAACAGGAGAAGGAAUAUACACACUUCUCCAUUCUCUGAGGCCACAAAGACACUUGAUAAAAACUGCUGAGGUCCUAGACACAUGAACAGUCCCGACAGACACCAGAAGGGGAAUUCCUGCCAUUAGAUCAAUGUGAGCUGGAUGUUGGAUUUGGAACUGGAGCUG